CUCGGGGGGAUUAGAAUACGGCCACGGUAUCCCCUGCCUGUCGUAAGAGGCGACUAAAAGGGGACACACACAGGCUCAAGAAAAAAAUUGUAAAAGUAUGGCAAAUGUAUGAAACAAUGUAAAAUGCAAAAGGGGACAGUAAAAUUCCUGAAAGUACGCCGCCCGGAGGAAACGGGAUGUAAAAAUUCAUUCUUUUCUUUCCGAACCAGGGAAAAUUAAAGUAAAGUAAUCCAUGCAAAUCUGUGCCGAGGUUUCAAAGUGUUUCUGUCAAAAGCAUACGGCGAUAAGUCUGUGAAAAUCACGGCAGUACGAGGAUAUACCGAGCCAUUCGUCUUUCACUCACGAACGGCCACGGUUCCCCGUGGUCAUUGUGUGCAAAUAACGACAAACCAUUUGUUUCUUUGGAUCGUGCCGCGGCUAUUUUAUCGUUUCUCGCGGGCAAUCGUGAUUCUCGUUAACAGUUCCUUCCGAUUUCACGAUUCCGCUAAUAGAAUCUGUACAGGGAGACGCGUUGACUCCUCGACCACCCCCGUUUUCUUCAAUUUAUUCACCCCUGAUGUUUGGCACCUUUCGAGCUGUCUCUUGAGUUGCAAAUCGACGCUUUCGGAAGAUAUUGAUAUUUAUGAGAUUCUUUUAGCCAUUAAAUAGAACAUCGUACAGGCUAUAGGUUGAUUACUUCAAAAUAAGUGUAGUUAUCUUAAACCUCAACUACAAGUAGAACGGUGGAAUUGAACGAGGCAUUAUGUUCAAAACGGUUUAUAUCUCGACCCAUAUCCUCCGGAGCAAUUUACUACCUAAAAACAAUAAUUGCAGCAUCAUUAUCCAGACCCUGGGAAAGAUCACAGAAAAUGUGCUUAGCAACUAACGCCAUCAACGCAUUGCCGACUGAUGCAUCACCGAUACCGUGUAAUUUUAAACAUCGUACCUCCUACAUUCUUUCUCGAAUACAAACCUCGAUGCCUUCUGUCGUCAUCUAAUCUAAAAUAAAUUAUCAAAAGUGCAGUCACCUGGUAUUUUAUUCAUUCAGUUAACAAGAAACAAAGAUAGAGAAGGAGAAGAAAGGCGACACGACGAAAAGCCCGAAGAACCGUGGAAACCUUGUUGCUAGAAUACAGUUAGCCUAUUGUUCACGGCGUGAACUUGCAUGUUAACGUGUCGAACAGCAAAUACUCGUUUAACCACGCGUCGACGGAGUCUCGUAGCCUAUACUAAUGUCACGUUCACGCGAUUAGAAACCGCUAAUAAUUAGCCGACCGGAAGAAGACCUGGCACGCUCGCCAAUUCGACGCAGUAUUCCACCUUCCUUUAACGCGUUAUGUACUUUAUUGUUUUCUUCUCUCGUCCGUUAAUUCGUGGUUCCAGGAGCUAUUGUAAAAAAGGAAUCGGGUUAUUAUUUAAUUUACUGAACUCCCUUGUACAGCUAUUUAUUUAAUUUAACAAAUUUCCGCAACGUCACGACUGCUGUUGACAGUUUCACCUAGAGCCAGGUGAGACAUCCACAGUCUUAUAGCGACCGCCGAGGAGUACGGAUGUAUCUGUUAAACAUGUAAAUACCUUUAUUUUAUUUUCUGCGUUUAUUUAAUUUGCUGUAUUCAUCUUCUUCACUUAUUGAAUAAAAAAAAUUAAGGAG
This is a long non-coding RNA of Osmia bicornis bicornis, 1630 nucleotides long. RefSeq lists it as uncharacterized. The record is from RefSeq and is a predicted model, not a curated record. The transcript is spliced from 3 exons. Lineage: Eukaryota; Metazoa; Arthropoda; Insecta; Hymenoptera; Megachilidae.